AGAGUUUGAUCCUGGCUCAGGAUGAACGCUGGCGGCGUGCCUAAUACAUGCAAGUCGAGCGAACGGACGAGAAGCUUGCUUCUCUGAUGUUAGCGGCGGACGGGUGAGUAACACGUGGAUAACCUACCUAUAAGACUGGGAUAACUUCGGGAAACCGGAGCUAAUACCGGAUGAUAUUUUGAACCGCAUGGUUCAAAAGUGAAAGACGGUCUUGCUGUCACUUAUAGAUGGAUCCGCGCUGCAUUAGCUAGUUGGUAAGGUAACGGCUUACCAAGGCAACGAUGCAUAGCCGACCUGAGAGGGUGAUCGGCCACACUGGAACUGAGACACGGUCCAGACUCCUACGGGAGGCAGCAGUAGGGAAUCUUCCGCAAUGGGCGAAAGCCUGACGGAGCAACGCCGCGUGAGUGAUGAAGGUCUUCGGAUCGUAAAACUCUGUUAUUAGGGAAGAACAUAUGUGUAAGUAACUGUGCACAUCUUGACGGUACCUAAUCAGAAAGCCACGGCUAACUACGUGCCAGCAGCCGCGGUAAUACGUAGGUGGCAAGCGUUAUCCGGAAUUAUUGGGCGUAAAGCGCGCGUAGGCGGUUUUUUAAGUCUGAUGUGAAAGCCCACGGCUCAACCGUGGAGGGUCAUUGGAAACUGGAAAACUUGAGUGCAGAAGAGGAAAGUGGAAUUCCAUGUGUAGCGGUGAAAUGCGCAGAGAUAUGGAGGAACACCAGUGGCGAAGGCGACUUUCUGGUCUGUAACUGACGCUGAUGUGCGAAAGCGUGGGGAUCAAACAGGAUUAGAUACCCUGGUAGUCCACGCCGUAAACGAUGAGUGCUAAGUGUUAGGGGGUUUCCGCCCCUUAGUGCUGCAGCUAACGCAUUAAGCACUCCGCCUGGGGAGUACGACCGCAAGGUUGAAACUCAAAGGAAUUGACGGGGACCCGCACAAGCGGUGGAGCAUGUGGUUUAAUUCGAAGCAACGCGAAGAACCUUACCAAAUCUUGACAUCCUUUGACAACUCUAGAGAUAGAGCCUUCCCCUUCGGGGGACAAAGUGACAGGUGGUGCAUGGUUGUCGUCAGCUCGUGUCGUGAGAUGUUGGGUUAAGUCCCGCAACGAGCGCAACCCUUGGAGCAUGUGGUUUAAUUCGAAGCAACGCGAAGAACCUUACCAAAUCUUGACAUCCUUUGACAACUCUAGAGAUAGAGCUUUCCCCUUCGGGGG
Molecule: ribosomal RNA, 1213 nt
Filed under: Staphylococcus aureus M20726
Lineage: Bacteria; Bacillati; Bacillota; Bacilli; Caryophanales; Staphylococcaceae
Description: partial 16S ribosomal RNA
Rfam family: Bacterial small subunit ribosomal RNA
Source: RNAcentral